GACGAACGCUGGCGGCGUGCUUAACACAUGCAAGUCGAACGGAAAGGCCCCCUUGUGGGGUACUCGAGUGGCGAACGGGUGAGUAACACGUGAGUAACCUACCCUUGACUUUGGGAUAACUUCAGGAAACUGGGGCUAAUACCGGAUAGGAGCUCCUGCUGCAUGGUGGGGGUUGGAAAGUUUCGGCGGUUGGGGAUGGACUCGCGGCUUAUCAGCUUGUUGGUGGAGUAGUGGCUCACCAAGGCUUUGACGGGUAGCCGGCCUGAGAGGGUGACCGGCCACAUUGGGACUGAGAUACGGCCCAGACUCCUACGGGAGGCAGCAGUGGGGAAUAUUGCACAAUGGGCGGAAGCCUGAUGCAGCAACGCCGCGUGCGGGAUGACGGCCUUCGGGUUGUAAACCGCUUUCGCCUGUGACGAAGCGUGAGUGAUGGUAAUGGGUAAAGAAGCACCGGCUAACUACGUG
RNAcentral lists this ribosomal RNA (465 nucleotides) under uncultured bacterium. Its description in RNAcentral is "partial 16S ribosomal RNA". It matches the Rfam family "Bacterial small subunit ribosomal RNA", at positions 28 to 507 of the family's 1533-position model. The record is from RNAcentral.